GGGGGCGACUAAGUUUCGACAGGGCUUUAGUUAAAAGACAUAAAGCAGGUGGCGGUUCGUUCUUACGCCUAAACUAAGAGCAAGCGUAAAUAAACGCAGACGAAGAAAACAAUGUUGUUACAAUGAACGCUAUGCCUUGUGCUGCCUAAAUUGUGACGACGCCUGAUUAGAGCAUUAUCUAAUUCGCCUUAUUUUUGUCUUGCCAACAAAAAUUUUGGUGUCAGACUUGGCAAAAAUUUCAUUCAAAGUUAUUUCUUGUAUGAAUGAAAAAUUUUAAAGAAAUUGCUUUAAAAACUUGUUUAUGAGUGAUUUUAGAGUGAAAUUUUAUGCAUAAACUAAACUUGUAGAAAAGUCUUUUAAAAAAGUUUUGGACUCGGGAGCAUAACCCGACGCCUCCAC
This 399-nucleotide transfer-messenger RNA is filed under the name chicken gut metagenome. It matches the Rfam family "transfer-messenger RNA". Rfam says of the family: Bacterial tmRNA, also known as 10Sa RNA or SsrA, is named for its dual tRNA and mRNA-like properties. Its role is to liberate the mRNA from a stalled ribosome. The record is from RNAcentral.